RNAcentral lists this long non-coding RNA (1224 nucleotides) under Trifolium pratense (red clover). RNAcentral's name for it is "long non-coding RNA (TPRA_LNC006202)". Lineage: Eukaryota; Viridiplantae; Streptophyta; Magnoliopsida; Fabales; Fabaceae. The record is from RNAcentral.
AAGGAAUCUAUACAUAUAUAAAACCCCUUUUUACCCCGUGUCAUAAUCAGAGCGGAGCUUCACCACGAACUCGGACAAGGCUAACAGAUAACCUGUCAACCUGGACCCCCAAAGGUCCAGAAAUUACACAUAGCAGAGAGUUAGAAAUCAUAACCAAAAAUACAAGUGCGAGCAGUAUACUACACACUUCACACACUAUCAUACACUUCUAACUCACGCACAUGCAUCAUCUACAAAACAUCUAACACAUCAAUCAAGUCUAGCAAACAUAGACAAGUAAUCCACAAAGCAAACAAUGCCACAUAACACUUAUCACAAAUAUGCAUAUGCAAGGAAACACAUAAUUCCUAAUGCAACUAAUGCCAAUUAAAUAUGCCAUGCCAUCCUAGACACAACUAAUGCAUGUGGUACCAUCUUCGUUAUUGGACGAAUCCAAUAUCCUUCGUUAUCAGACGAAUUUGAUAUCCUUCGUUAUCGGACGAAUCCGAUAUCCCUAAUAAAUGCAUGAAUGCAUGAUGUCCUAGACACAACUAAUGCAUGUAUGCAAACACUUAUCAAACAUAUGAUAAUCACUAGCACAAGGCUAUUCCUCACAAUAUGGAUAACAUAAUCCAAAAUACUUCUUUAUUAAGAUAACACAAUAUCUUAAUAUUCUUCUUUAUUGGACGAAUCCAAUAUACAAAACACAAUUAAUAAUAUACAAAACACAAAUACAUCAAACAAUCAUUCAAACAUGUUUAAUACACAUAAGAAAACAUACUCACAAACAUACAUAUAUACCUAAUCAAAACAUCUACACAUUCCCUCUUGAUUUCCCCAAGAUUGUUUAUUACAUAUACAAGGAUCAAAAGGUCAUACUCUUUAUUUAUGAAAAUCACCCAAUACCCAAAAGAAAUUGAGUGAGAGAGUUUGGAAACGAAGAUAUCGACAAUCUCCCCUCUCUAUCAACCACUCAAGGAUUAUGGAAUCUAACUCUCAUACCUUAGCCUCGAUGAUUCCUCAAGAUUUCUCUAGCUCUCAAGCUCCUCCUCUCUCUCACGGCCUCUACCUCAUCUUGCCCAAGCACACCACUUCCUUGGCUCUAGCUUAGAGAUGAUGAUCCAUGAACUCCUAUGGUUCCAACAAGCUUCUAAUGGAUCAAUUUGGUUAAGGAAUGGAAUUUUGGUGAGGUUAGGAAUGCAAAGAAAGGCUCACGGCCUAGAGGAGAAAUAAUGAAUGAAUUUG